AACCCUGUGUAAAUGAAGGAAUGUGUGUUACCUACCACAAUGGCACAGGAUACUGCAAAUGUCCAGAAGGCUUCUUGGGAGAAUAUUGUCAACAUCGAGACCCCUGUGAGAAGAACCGCUGCCAGAAUGGUGGGACUUGUGUGGCCCAGGCCAUGCUGGGGAAAGCCACGUGCCGAUGUGCCUCAGGGUUCACGGGAGAGGACUGCCAGUACUCGACAUCUCAUCCAUGCUUUGUGUCUCGACCCUGCCUGAAUGGUGGCACAUGCCAUAUGCUCAGUCGGGAUACCUAUGAGUGCACCUGUCAAGUCGGGUUUACAGGUAACUAAUGAGACCAAAGCCAGUGCUUUCCUACCUUCAGCAGAUACCUUUAUUUAGCAUCUUUUAGAUCAUGGUGUCUGGCUCUUAAGUGUCCCC
This 414-nucleotide small RNA is filed under the name Pongo abelii (Sumatran orangutan). RNAcentral's name for it is "processed transcript". Lineage: Eukaryota; Metazoa; Chordata; Mammalia; Primates; Hominidae. The record is from RNAcentral.